AUCCUUUGUAGUUUACGAGAGUGACGAUUGGGUGUUCAUGUGCAAUGUGUGCAUUGAUACCACGAUGGCACAUUACUCGUCUGACG
Pongo abelii (Sumatran orangutan) is the source of this 86-nucleotide small nucleolar RNA. Lineage: Eukaryota; Metazoa; Chordata; Mammalia; Primates; Hominidae. The record is from Ensembl.